This 485-nucleotide long non-coding RNA is filed under the name Homo sapiens (human). RNAcentral describes it as "non-protein coding lnc-TMEM121-2:22". The record is from RNAcentral. Lineage: Eukaryota; Metazoa; Chordata; Mammalia; Primates; Hominidae.
AGGAGAAAGUGAUGGAGUCGGGAAGGAAGUCCUGUGCGAGGCAGCCAACGGCCACGCUGCUCGUAUCCGACGGGGAAUUCUCACAGGAGACGAGGGGGAAAAGGGUUGGGGCGGAUGCACUCCUGAGGAGACGGUGACCAGGGUUCCCUGGCCCCAGGGGUCGAACCAGUUGUCACAUUGUGACAACAAUGCCACACUGUGUCUCUCGCACAGUAAUACACGGCCGUGUCGUCAGAUCUCAGCCUGCUCAGCUCCAUGUAGGCUGUGCUGAUGGACGUGUCCCUGGUCAUGGUGACCCAGCCCUGAAACUUCUGUGCAUAGUUUGUGCCACCACUGUUAGGGUUGAUCCAUCCCAUCCACUCAAGCCCUUGUCCAGGGGCCUGUCGCACCCAGUGCAUAUAGUAGCCGGUGAAGGUGUAUCCAGAAGCCUUGCAGGAGACCUUCACUGAGGCCCCAGGCUUCUUCACCUCAGCCCCAGACUGCAC